Molecule: long non-coding RNA, 1340 nt
Organism: Oreochromis aureus
Lineage: Eukaryota; Metazoa; Chordata; Actinopteri; Cichliformes; Cichlidae
Source: Ensembl
AGCUUCAUAAAGUCAAGUUUAAGUCAGUUGCAUUUUUUUCACUUUAUUGAAAAUGAGACAUUUGAUUAAGCAGCUUUGGUGUGUGCAGCAAAUGCUCUCCAUCCUUAGAAUUACAUAGAAGAUUGUGGUUUCUUUCUAUAUAAUUUAACAGCUUUGAUGAACAGACACUUGCUCUGUUGGUCACUGAUCACCCAGUUAAAACUAAGUCCAGUUGAUCAGUGGCCCAUGUGAUGAAUGGAAUCUUUCAACCCCAGACUGCCCAUAACAGUUUUCCUGCUGCCCCCUCUCUCUCUCUCUCUCUCUCUCUCUCUCUCUUUUUUUUUUUUUUUUUUUUUUCUUCUCCUGAUUCCCACCAUAAUGUCAUCAUUGGCUUUCUGUCCUUUCUCCUUUCCUCAUCUGUGCGGCAGCUUAAUACCAGUACACUCUGCCAGCCCCACAGCAGCAGACACUGCAGUCACUGGUACAGCUCUUUGUGGACCUUCACUAGUUGUGCACAUCACCAGUCACUGAUCCCUGAGCUGCUGCAGAAUGACCUACAUUGACCCGAUGUUACCCAAUGCUGAAAAACGAUUUCCAGUAGUGAAUUCUCUAAGAAUCCAAACCCAUCCCUUCUUAUUUGAUGAUUGAAACAUCAGCUUGCAGCCUUGUGCACAGUGAGGAGUCGGACAAGAUUUUGCAUCAGAAGAAAUAUCCAAAGUGGUGGAGAGCAUCAUGACCAACCUCGGAAGAUCUGUGUCAUUGGCUUAACUUCAACAUUUUCCUUCACUCUUACUACAGCAACAAUCAUCCAGGCAAAUACUGUAAUAAAAUGGCACAAACUUGUAUCAUAUUUCUAGCAUUUUGAUUUUUGGGUCAUAGCAUCCAGCUGUCAAAUAGCUGAAUUAAAGCAGCAGAGGGUUCAUUAAUCACUUUUGCUGAAAGUGUUUUGCAGAGGUGACAGCAACUGGACUCCUAAGAACGAUUACAGUUUCAGUGAAUGCCUUGCAUCAUCAGAGGCUUUAGCUCAUUUUAAAUAUCUGCUUGUUCUGUUGUUAUGUCAUCCAGCAGGGUUAGAAGUUUGUUUGCCUGGCACUAUGAUGUGUAUGUAUUAUUGUAGGGUCUACCUUACAAUAUAAAGUGGCUUGAGGUGACUGUUGUUGUGACUUGGCGCUAGAUAAAUAACAUUGAAUUGAAGCAAUCUGUAUUCGGAUUAUUUAUGUACCCAGGAAACGGUGAAAGUAACUGUGUAGUUGUAACAUCGAAGAUUCUCCGCAACAUAUGUGCAGGAAGCAAACCUGAGAUGGUUGGUGUUAAACUUAACAAUAUCCUGCUGUUCACCUGGUUAGCUGUAAUUAUACUGA